UAGGGAAUAUUGCUUAAUGGGCGAAAGCCUGAAGCAGCAACGCCGCGUGUGCGAUGAAGGCCUUCGGGUUGUAAAGCACUUUUGGAGAGGAUGAGGAAGGACAGUACUCUCAGAAUAAGUCUCGGCUAACUACGUGCCAGCAGCCGCGGUAAAACGUAGGAGACGAGCGUUAUUCGGAUUUACUGGGCGUAAAGCGCGUGCAGGCGGUACGGAAAGUUGGAUGUGAAAGCUCCCGGCUUAACUGGGAGAGGUCGUUCAAAACUACCGAACUAGAGUGUGGGAGAGGGAGGCGGAAUUCCGGGUGUAGUGGUGAAAUGCGUAGAUAUCCGGAGGAACACCAGAGGCGAAAGCGGCCUCCUGGUCCACAACUGACGCUCAGACGCGAAAGCUAGGGUAGCAAACGGG
RNAcentral lists this ribosomal RNA (405 nucleotides) under uncultured bacterium. RNAcentral describes it as "bacterial SSU rRNA". It matches the Rfam family "Bacterial small subunit ribosomal RNA", at positions 355 to 776 of the family's 1533-position model. The record is from RNAcentral.